UCGUGAGUGUGGCAGGGUGGGGAACCCAAGUUUCAUAAGUCACCACAGGUGCAAGACUCGCCAUAGCUCGACUCUCAUUUUAAAGUCCGGACGAGUCAAGUCUAGGAAUUGCAUGCUUAAGUGUUAUUUAUGAAUCUGUUUGAUAUAAGUUGUUCUUGUAUGUUACAUGUUUAAUACAAUUGUAUGAAUUUAUAUAAUUAGCUCACCCUUGCCUUUGUUGUUUGUGUUUAUGUAUGUUGUUUGAUUCCCU
Molecule: long non-coding RNA, 250 nt
Filed under: Vigna radiata
Lineage: Eukaryota; Viridiplantae; Streptophyta; Magnoliopsida; Fabales; Fabaceae
Description: long non-coding RNA (VRAD_LNC014430)
Source: RNAcentral